UACGUAGGGGGCAAGCGUUGUCCGGAUUUAUUGGGCGUAAAGAGCGUGUAGGCGGCUUUGCAAGUCCGUUGUGAAAACUCGAGGCUCAACCUCGAGACGCCGGUGGAAACUGCAAAGCUAGAGUCCGGAAGAGGAGAGUGGAAUUCCUGGUGUAGCGGUGAGAUGCGCAGAUAUCAGGAAGAACACCCGUGGCGAAGGCGGCUCUCUGGGACGGUACUGACGCUGAGACGCGAAAGCGUGGGGAGCGAACAGG
RNAcentral lists this ribosomal RNA (253 nucleotides) under uncultured bacterium. Its description in RNAcentral is "partial 16S ribosomal RNA". It matches the Rfam family "Bacterial small subunit ribosomal RNA", at positions 524 to 776 of the family's 1533-position model. The record is from RNAcentral.